AUACGUCGGGGGCGAGCGUUGUCCGGAAUGAUUGGGCGUAAAGGGCGCGUAGGCGGCCCGGUAAGUCUGGAGUGAAAGUCCUGUUUUUAAGAUGGGAAUUGCUUUGGAUACUGUCGGGCUUGAGUGCAGGAGAGGUAAGUGGAAUUCCCAGUGUAGCGGUGAAAUGCGUAGAGAUUGGGAGGAACACCAGUGGCGAAGGCGACUUACUGGACUGUAACUGACGCUGAGGCGCGAAAGUGUGGGGAGCAAACAGGAUUAGAUACCCUGGUAGUCCACACUGUAAACGAUGAAUGCUAGGUGUAGGGGGUAUCGACCCCUUCUGUGCCGCAGUCAACACAAUAAGCAUUCCGCCUGGGGAGUACGGCCGCAAGGUUGAAACUUAAAGGAAUUGGCGGGG
Molecule: ribosomal RNA, 397 nt
Filed under: uncultured bacterium
Lineage: Bacteria
Description: partial 16S ribosomal RNA
Rfam family: Bacterial small subunit ribosomal RNA
Source: RNAcentral